Molecule: ribosomal RNA, 196 nt
Filed under: uncultured Acinetobacter sp.
Lineage: Bacteria; Pseudomonadati; Pseudomonadota; Gammaproteobacteria; Moraxellales; Moraxellaceae
Description: partial 16S ribosomal RNA
Rfam family: Bacterial small subunit ribosomal RNA
Source: RNAcentral
UCUACGGGAGGCAGCAGUGGGGAAUAUUGGACAAUGGGCGCAAGCCUGAUCCAGCCAUGCCGCGUGUGUGAAGAAGGCCUUUUGGUUGUAAAGCACUUUAAGCGAGGAGGAGGCUACUUGGAUUAAUACUCUAGGAUAGUGGACGUUACUCGCAGAAUAAGCACCGGCUAACUCUGUGCCAGCAGCCGCGGUAAUA